UGCCAGCCGCCGCGGUAAUACGGAAGGUGCGAGCGUUAAUCGGAAUUACUGGGCGUAAAGAGCACGUAGGCGGUUUGUUAAGUUGGAUGUGAAAGCCCAGGGCUCAACCUUGGAAUUGCAUCCGAUACUGGCAGGCUAGAGUACAGUAGAGGGAGGUGGAAUUUCCGGUGUAGCGGUGAAAUGCGUAGAGAUCGGAAGGAACACCAGUGGCGAAGGCGGCCUCCUGGACUGAUACUGACGCUGAGGUGCGAAAGCGUGGGGAGCAAACAGGAUUAGAUA
Molecule: ribosomal RNA, 279 nt
Filed under: uncultured bacterium
Lineage: Bacteria
Description: partial 16S ribosomal RNA
Rfam family: Bacterial small subunit ribosomal RNA
Source: RNAcentral